This 253-nucleotide ribosomal RNA is filed under the name uncultured bacterium. RNAcentral's name for it is "partial 16S ribosomal RNA". It matches the Rfam family "Bacterial small subunit ribosomal RNA", at positions 524 to 776 of the family's 1533-position model. The record is from RNAcentral.
UACGUAGGGGGCGAGCGUUGUCCGGAUUUAUUGGGCGUAAAGAGCGUGUAGGCGGCCAGGUAGGUCUGCUGUGAAAACUCGAGGCUCAACCUCGAGACGUCGGCGGAAACCAUCUGGCUAGAGUCCGGAAGAGGAGAGUGGAAUUCCUGGUGUAGCGGUGAAAUGCGCAGAUAUCAGGAAGAACACCUAUGGCGAAGUCAGCACUCUGGGACGGUACUGACGCUGAGACGCGAAAGCGUGGGGAGCGAACAGG